This 301-nucleotide ribosomal RNA is filed under the name uncultured bacterium. RNAcentral describes it as "partial 16S ribosomal RNA". It matches the Rfam family "Bacterial small subunit ribosomal RNA", at positions 509 to 809 of the family's 1533-position model. The record is from RNAcentral.
CAGCAGCCGCGGGAAUACGAAGGGUGCAAGCGUUGAUCGGAAUUACCGGGCGUAAAGCGUGCGUAGGCGGUGAGUUAAGUCUGCUGUGAAAUCCCCGGGCUCAACCUGGGAAUGGCAGUGGAUACUGGCUCGCUAGAGUGUGUCAGAGGAUGGUGGAAUUCCCGGUGUAGCGGUGAAAUGCGUAGAGAUCGGGAGGAACAUCAGCGGCGAAGGCGGCCAUCUGGGACAACACUGACGCUGAGGCACGAAAGCGUGGGGAGCAAACAGGAUUAGAUACCCCCGUAGUCCCUGUCUCUUAUAA